Molecule: ribosomal RNA, 497 nt
Filed under: uncultured bacterium
Lineage: Bacteria
Description: partial 16S ribosomal RNA
Rfam family: Bacterial small subunit ribosomal RNA
Source: RNAcentral
GAUGAACGCUGGCGGCGUGCCUAAUACAUGCAAGUCGAGCGAACGGACGAGAAGCUUGCUUCUCUGAUGUUAGCGGAGGACGGGUGAGUAACACGUGGAUAACCUACCUAUAAGACUGGGAUAACUUCGGGAAACCGGAGCUAAUACCGGAUAAUAUUUUGAACCGCAUGGUUCAAAAGUGAAAGACGGUCUUGCUGUCACUUAUAGAUGGAUCCGCGCUGCAUUAGCUAGUUGGUAAGGUAACAGCUUACCAAGGCAACUAUGCAUAGCCGACCUGAGAGGGUGAUCGGCCACACUGGAACUGAGACACGGUCCAGACUCCUACGGGAGGCAGCAGUAGGGUAUCUUCCGCAAUGGUCGAAAGCCUUACGGAGCAACGCCGCGUGAGUGAUGAAGGUCUUCGGAUCGUAAAACUCUGUUAUUAGGGAAGAACAUAUGUGUAAGUAACUGUGCACAUCUUGACGGUACCUAAUCAGAAAGCCACGGCUAACUACGUG